GUUUUUAAUGAUCGUUUGCCUCAUCAACAAAGGUUGGUUUCGAGAUGUAUCAAUUAACAAUUAAGCCUCCAUGAAGUUAAAUAUGAAACUCUCUAGUAAAUUACGCACAAUAAAUGGUUUGGAGUGCCCCCUCUUGGUUUUGAAAGUUUGGUGCUCUUGGUCUCUAAUUUUUGACUGCCAUCGUAGUGCCCACUUUCUUUUCUUAAAUAAGCACGGAUGAGGAUCAUGAGGUUUCCAAAGUCUUCACAUCAGUGAUUCGCAUUUCAUAGCUUUGGAGGGAAAAUUGUACCAACAUGCGGAACAGUGUCACGUUGCCUAGAAAAUAAGCAACCAAAAGGUUCUUGUGACCUUCUUAAUUUUGAUAAAAUAUCUUCUUACCUUUUAGACCAUAUGUUAACUAUAGAAACAUGAAAUCUCUAAGGUCGAGCUAGAGAAAUUUCAAAUCCAGGCCCCAAAGGGAGCGAGAGAGACAUGCAUACUUGCAACACUUUUGUGAUUGAGUAAUGGUACUGGGCCUAGGCAUGGCAUGGGGGCCCUUCAUAGCUGUGGCCGCAUUUGACGAAAGGGGACUGGUGCAAUUUGGCACGUCUGUUUCAUAUCCAGUGGGUCUCUAAUGCAAAAGAACCAAUUCCCUCCCGAUACAUUGGCUCGAAGCCCCCUUGAUGCAAGGUUUGACCCCAAAAUUAAUAUUCUUUCAGUGAUACCCUCUUUCAGCACUAACUUUUAUUUCACAUUCAAAUCAAUUACAUUCUAAUUAAGCUCUCGAUUACCUCUCAA
RNAcentral lists this long non-coding RNA (777 nucleotides) under Phoenix dactylifera (date palm). RNAcentral's name for it is "long non-coding RNA (PDAC_LNC001876)". The record is from RNAcentral. Lineage: Eukaryota; Viridiplantae; Streptophyta; Magnoliopsida; Arecales; Arecaceae.